GAUGAACGCUGGCGGCGUGCCUAAUACAUGCAAGUCGAGCGAACAGAUAAGGAGCUUGCUCCUUUGACGUUAGCGGCGGACGGGUGAGUAACACGUGGGUAACCUAUCUAUAAGACUGGAAUAACUCCGGGAAACCGGGGCUAAUGCCGGAUAACAUGUUGAACCGCGUGGUUCUACAGUGAAAGGCGGCUUUGCUGUCACUUAUAGAUGGACCCGCGCCGUAUUAGCUAGUUGGUGAGGUAACGGCUCACCAAGGCAACGAUACGUAGCCGACCUGAGAGGGUGAUCGGCCACACUGGAACUGAGACACGGUCCAGACUCCUACGGGAGGCAGCAGUAGGGAAUCUUCCGCAAUGGGCGAAAGCCUGACGGAGCAACGCCGCGUGAGUGAUGAAGGUCUUCGGAUCGUAAAACUCUGUUAUUAGGGAAGAACAAAUGCGUAAGUAACUGUGCGCGUCUUGACGGUACCUAAUCAGAAAGCCACGGCUAACUACGUG
This 497-nucleotide ribosomal RNA is filed under the name uncultured bacterium. Its description in RNAcentral is "partial 16S ribosomal RNA". It matches the Rfam family "Bacterial small subunit ribosomal RNA", at positions 28 to 507 of the family's 1533-position model. The record is from RNAcentral.